This is an unclassified non-coding RNA of Fukomys damarensis (Damara mole-rat), 302 nucleotides long. Its record names the gene 7SK. It matches the Rfam family "7SK RNA". Rfam says of the family: 7SK was discovered as an abundant small nuclear RNA in the mid-70s but a possible function has only recently been suggested. The record is from Ensembl. NCBI's taxonomy places the organism in Eukaryota, Metazoa, Chordata, Mammalia, Rodentia, Bathyergidae.
GAAUGUGAGGGAGAGCUGGCUGUGACACCAUCAUCCCAUUGAUCACCAGGGUUGAUUCAGCUCGUCAGGCUGGCUAGGCGGGUGUCACCUUCCUCUCUGAUUGCUCCAUAUAUGUCCCUCCCAAAGCUUCACACUUAGUCAAAGAGGACGAACUUCCACAAUAGAAGAAGACUGUUCAUGGGUCAAAAGUAUACAAAUAUCCGUGAUCUCAAUGGAACCUCCAAACAAGGUCUCAAAGAGGAGACGGUGGGUGUACUAGCACCUUUUAUGCCCACACACAUGUCCUCAAUUAGCUCAUCUGU